RNAcentral lists this ribosomal RNA (527 nucleotides) under uncultured bacterium. RNAcentral describes it as "bacterial SSU rRNA". It matches the Rfam family "Bacterial small subunit ribosomal RNA", at positions 355 to 896 of the family's 1533-position model. The record is from RNAcentral.
UGGGGAAUCUUGCACAAUGGGCGAAAGCCUGAUGCAGCGACGCCGCGUGCGGGACGAAGGCCUUCGGGUUGUAAACCGCUUUCAGCAGGGACGAGGCGAUAAGUGACGGUACCUGCAGAAGAAGCCCCGGCUAACUACGUGCCAGCAGCCGCGGUAAUACGUAGGGGGCAAGCGUUAUCCGGAUUCAUUGGGCGUAAAGCGCUCGUAGGCGGUCUGUUAGGUCGGGAGUUAAAUCCGGAGGCUCAACCUCCGCCCGCUCCCGAUACCGGCAGACUUGAGUUUGGUAGGGGAAGGUGGAAUUCCUAGUGUAGCGGUGGAAUGCGCAGAUAUUAGGAAGAACACCAGUGGCGAAGGCGGCCUUCUGGGCCACAACUGACGCUGAGGAGCGAAAGCUAGGGGAGCAAACAGGAUUAGAUACCCUGGUAGUCCUAGCUGUAAACGAUGGACACUAGGUGUGGGAGAAUACGUCUUCCGUGCCGCAGCUAACGCAUUAAGUGUCCCGCCUGGGGAGUACGGCCGCAAGGCUA